RNAcentral lists this transfer RNA (73 nucleotides) under Apanteles gelechiidivoris. RNAcentral describes it as "tRNA-Gln". Lineage: Eukaryota; Metazoa; Arthropoda; Insecta; Hymenoptera; Braconidae. The record is from RNAcentral.
UAUAAAUUAAUGUUAAAAUGCAUAAAAAUUUUUGAAAUUUUUUGAAAUAGUAAAUUUAUUCUAUUAUUUAUAU